GACGACGGGGAUCGAGUCGUCGGCGCGUUCCAUGUGAACGUGAACGUGGACGUGGACGUGGACGGCAUUAACACUAAAAGGAUGCCAAGUGUGCUUCAUGUAGUUACCUACAACGCAAUCAAAAACAAGGGAAGUAGGGGUAAACUUUCCCAGGCUGAAAGAAAAUCCACGCGAUGAAGUCAAUAUUACAACGUUCGGUUCAUCUGAGCCAUCGUAUGUUUCCUGCCCGGGAUGGACAGUCAGUUGGGUUCGGGCUUGGGCCGGAUCUUCAUUUCGGUGAAUCUCAGAGAAUAUUGCCAGCCGGUCCAACUGGACCACUCCACGCCGUCUGCGUAGGACGCGUGGCCUCCACCCAGGUAUCCUGAAAGGCGAGUUGGUGGAGUUCGAUUCGUACCCUUUCCAAAACCGAAGACCCAGUAUGAAAAAUGCCUUGCGCCAAUUGACCUCUCCGUGGAUAUUGCGCAAUCCGCGUCACUGACCAAUCAGAGGCCAGAGAUCUGCAUAGACCAAAGCCCGUUUUUGCUCCCGCCAUUUUCUCUGGCAACAUUGAAUGGUAUCCUGAAAGGCGAGUUGGUGGAGUUCGAUUCGUACCCUUUCCAAAACCGAAGACCCAGUAUGAAAAAUGCCUUCGAUGGAUCAAACUUUGUGGAAGACCGCAUCAUCAACUAAAUCCAUCUAAUAUCAACCGGAACACAUAUGUUUGCACCAAGGCUGCCCAGAGAAUCAGUCAAAACGGAACUGAGCUUGAGGAGCCCUGCUUGCUCUUCUGACAGUACCUGCACACAAAGGUCAAAUGUUUCUUGUCUUUUCAUAUUCGAGAUGUGGAAUUGAUGAAAGGAAAUCCAUAGGUAUGCUUGAUUACCUCUUGUCACACAAGUCCAACCUUUCACUCUUUACACUUGUUCCAUCCCAAAACAGAAAAACAGCGUAAAAUGGCACUUGAUUCUAAAAUGCUAAAUGGGAAAAAAAAAAAAAAAAUCUAAACUUGCAGGCAUUCAAACCGUUUUUUCCCUCAGGCAAUUAAGUGCUUAAAUUCUUGAUCAGCGAACCUACUACAGUAUUUUCUGCCUUGCGCAGCUGUUGGGGCACAGCCUCAUCGAUCAGUACCCGCAUUACAGCGGUACCUGGGUUUUCCAAGGUCUUGGUUUUCGUACAACCCCUGCAUGAGGUGUUUGCCCCAACCGUGAAGGCCUACUUGGAGGAGAAAAACUUGCCCUUAUGUUGCCUUCUGCUUCGGGACAAUGCGCCUGCCCACCCUCCUGGUUUGGAGGACGACUUGAAUCAAUCAAGGUCAAGUUUCUUCCUCCAAACGCGACACCCUUGAUUCAGCCCACGGACCAGCAAGUCACCGCCAAUUUCAAGAAGAAGCUUGAUACAAAAUUGUUGUUCCAAAGACCCUUUUUGAAAAAAAAAAAAAAAAAUUCACUUCAACAUCACCGUCGUCGACAAAGCUUGGAGCCAGGUGACACAAAGGACCACGAACUCUGCACGGAAGAAAUUGUGGCCCGAAUGUUUUGCUGAGCGUAACUUCGAAGGUCUUUCAGCUGUUGCGGGGCCUUCGGCAGCUGCUGGUGGCGACACGGGGUCAAAUCGUUUGUGAAAUCGUGACAAUUGGCCAAAAUCUCGGUUUGAGAGAUGGACACCGAUGAUGUUGAGGACCUGCCGGAGGAGCAUCGUGCCGAGCUCACGACUGAGGAACUCCUGCACCUUCCGGAGGAGCGAAAGAAGACAUUGAAGGAGGCGAUGUUGUCUGAUGAGGCUGAAGAACUCCAUCAACCGAGCAAAAGCAGAAUGUUGCAGAGCACUGCAAAAUUUCAAUGACGUCUUGACUUCAGGGAGUUGCUCAAAAGAUGGCAGAAAUAGUCUCCAUUCGAUUCUUUCUUUGUGGAAAAAGGGGCGAGUCACCCCCACCGAAGACAUCUGAAACUGUUGUUCUGCAUGUUCCAUUAACCCGACCUCCAGUUGCACGUUAAUUUUUUUUUUUUUA
This is a long non-coding RNA of Syngnathoides biaculeatus (alligator pipefish), 1987 nucleotides long. RefSeq lists it as uncharacterized. NCBI's taxonomy places the organism in Eukaryota, Metazoa, Chordata, Actinopteri, Syngnathiformes, Syngnathidae. The transcript is spliced from 6 exons. The record is from RefSeq and is a predicted model, not a curated record.